Molecule: transfer RNA, 71 nt
Filed under: Biomphalaria glabrata
Lineage: Eukaryota; Metazoa; Mollusca; Gastropoda; Planorbidae
Rfam family: tRNA
About the family: Transfer RNA (tRNA) molecules are approximately 80 nucleotides in length. Their secondary structure includes four short double-helical elements and three loops (D, anti-codon, and T loops). Further hydrogen bonds mediate the characteristic L-shaped molecular structure. tRNAs have two regions of fundamental functional importance: the anti-codon, which is responsible for specific mRNA codon recognition, and the 3' end, to which the tRNAs corresponding amino acid is attached (by aminoacyl-tRNA synthetases). tRNAs cope with the degeneracy of the genetic code in two manners: having more than one tRNA (with a specific anti-codon) for a particular amino acid; and 'wobble' base-pairing, i.e. permitting non-standard base-pairing at the 3rd anti-codon position.
Source: Rfam by way of RNAcentral
GUCGUGGUGGCUGAGCGGUUAAGCGCUUGGCUUCCGAACCGGGGUCCGAGGUUCGAAUCCUUGUGAAGACU